AGCUGUUCUUCCCAGUCUAUGCAAAUAGACAUUUUUACUUGGUCUGCUUCAACUUAAAGAAGCAAGCAUUCGAAGUUAUAGACAACAUCCGCCAGGGGAAAAAUGCAGGAAAAUAUUAUGGGCCAAGAAUUAGACUUUUGCGUCGACACUUUGAGAAAUACUUGUUGGAGAACAACUUAAGUUUGUUGGCUAAUUUGGUGAAAAAUUUAAAACCAUCUUACUUGGUAAUGCCUUGGCAAACAAUUCAAAAUGACACGGAUUGUGGAUUGUUUUUGAUGAGGCACAUGGAGACCUACAUGGGGGAUGCGAAGACCUGGACAAGUGAUUUGAAACCCGAAAAUUAUGGACAAACAACACAGUUGGAUAAGAUUCGUGCAAAGUAUUGUCAUGCUAUUUUGGCUUCUCCGUUGAAUGAGAUAAGACAAAAAAAUCCUCGAUGAAGCAAAACUUUUAUACAACAAGAUGGCAUCUGAGAGAGUCAUGAGUAUAGUGAUUGAAGCAAGUAAACGCAAGGGUGCACGUGUCCAUGGGAAAAAGAUGAUCAA
Daucus carota subsp. sativus is the source of this 545-nucleotide long non-coding RNA. RefSeq lists it as uncharacterized. The transcript is spliced from 3 exons. Lineage: Eukaryota; Viridiplantae; Streptophyta; Magnoliopsida; Apiales; Apiaceae. The record is from RefSeq and is a predicted model, not a curated record.